Molecule: long non-coding RNA, 254 nt
Organism: Capra hircus (goat)
Lineage: Eukaryota; Metazoa; Chordata; Mammalia; Artiodactyla; Bovidae
Exons: 5
Source: RefSeq, a predicted model, not a curated record
GGGUGAACCAGGAGAGAAAGGAGAUCCAGGUUUGUCAGGCGUUAAUGGACAAGAUGGUGUGAAAGGUGACUUGGGUCCUCGUGGUCCACCUGGCCCAAAAGGAGAAAAGGGAGAUAUGGGACCACCAGGACCACCAACACUAACUGGCUCCCUGGGGAUACAAGGCCCCCAAGGUCCACCUGGAAAAGAAGGUCAGAGGGGAAGACGAGGAAAACCAGGGCCUCCAGGAAAACCAGGGCCUCCAGGACCACCUG